This 111-nucleotide small nuclear RNA is filed under the name marine metagenome. RNAcentral's name for it is "U5 spliceosomal RNA". It matches the Rfam family "U5 spliceosomal RNA". Rfam says of the family: U5 RNA is a component of both types of known spliceosome. The record is from Rfam by way of RNAcentral.
AUCACAGCGUUCACUUCAUUACGCACCAAUCUUUCGCCUUUUACUAAAGGUUGCCGUGAAAGGGACGCAUCAAUGUGACUUCAUCAAUUUUUGCGGGACCUUCGGGUCCCA